This 491-nucleotide ribosomal RNA is filed under the name uncultured bacterium. Its description in RNAcentral is "partial 16S ribosomal RNA". It matches the Rfam family "Bacterial small subunit ribosomal RNA", at positions 28 to 507 of the family's 1533-position model. The record is from RNAcentral.
GAUGAACGCUAGCUACAGGCUUAGCACAUGCAAGUCGCGGGGCAGCAUGGGGGUUGCUUGCACCCCCUGAUGGCGACCGGCGCACGGGUGAGUAACGCUUAUCCAACCUGCCCUUCACCACGGGAUAACCCGGCGAAAGUCGGACUAAUACCGUCUGUUGUCCAUUGACGGCAUCCGAUUUGGACGAAAGGCUUGGCGGUGACAGGGUGGGGAUGCGUCCGAUUAGCUUGACGGCGGGGUAACGGCCCACCGUGGCUACGAUCGGUAGGGGUUUGGAGAGGAAGGUCCCCCACACUGGAACUGAGACACGGUCCAGACUCCUACGGGAGGCAGCAGUGAGGAAUAGUGGGCAAUGGGCGUAAGCCUGAACCAGCCAAGUAGCGUGCAGGAUGACGGCACUAUGGGUGGUAAACUGCUUUUAUGCGGGGAUAAAGUGGCCCACGGGUGGGCUUUUGCAGGUACCGCAUGAAUAAGGACCGGCUAAUUCCGUG